GUAUGGAAUAUUUACAUUGGUAAUGGGUCGGGAUAGCUCAGC
RNAcentral lists this transfer RNA (42 nucleotides) under Bacopa serpyllifolia. RNAcentral's name for it is "partial tRNA-Phe". Lineage: Eukaryota; Viridiplantae; Streptophyta; Magnoliopsida; Lamiales; Plantaginaceae. The record is from RNAcentral.